RNAcentral lists this ribosomal RNA (262 nucleotides) under uncultured Anaerolineaceae bacterium. RNAcentral describes it as "partial 16S ribosomal RNA". It matches the Rfam family "Bacterial small subunit ribosomal RNA", at positions 1105 to 1382 of the family's 1533-position model. Lineage: Bacteria; Bacillati; Chloroflexota; Anaerolineae; Anaerolineales; Anaerolineaceae. The record is from RNAcentral.
UCGUCGUAUGUUAUAUGUGUCAUACGAGACUGCCGGUAAAAGCCGGAGGAAGGUGAGGAUGAUGUCAAGUCAGCAUGACCUUUAUAUCCCAGGGCUACACACACGCUACAAUGGUCUGUACAAUGGGUAGCCAAGCCGCGAGGCGGAGCCAAUCCUGAAAGCAGGCCUCAGUCCGGAUUGGAGUCUGCAACUCGACUCCAUGAAGUUGGAAUCGCUAGUAAUCGCAGAUCAGCACGCUGCGGUGAAUACGUUCCCGGGCUUU